RNAcentral lists this long non-coding RNA (7467 nucleotides) under Olea europaea (common olive). RNAcentral describes it as "long non-coding RNA (OEUR_LNC003502)". The record is from RNAcentral. Lineage: Eukaryota; Viridiplantae; Streptophyta; Magnoliopsida; Lamiales; Oleaceae.
GAUCCGUGGCACUAAUGUCAAUGAUCCAUUUUUCCUCUAUGUCUGAAAUAGCCAAACAAAAACUAUUAACUGAAAAGGCUAAGACAUCUAGCAUGGCUGGUACUUUUGGUGAAGAAAAUUGCAAAUCACGAAGUGGACUAGCUGCUAGAUUAACAUGACUCUGAUCUGCAAUACUACCAGAAUGAAAGGCUAGAUUUGAGAACUGAGUCUAAAACUGUGGUUUCAAUAUAUUGAGGACCUAUUGACAUUGCUCUGGUGUGAUAGUCAAAUUGGAGAAUGUAUUGGACAUGUUUAGAAAGGUAGUGAAUCCAGUCACUUGAUUAGCACUUGAAGAAUAUUCCUAACCUUUGUUCUUUGCUAACUGAAAAGUUGAGGGAUACGAAUAUUAACCAAGAUUCCAAAAACACAAUCAAAAAUUGAAAAUAAAGUGCAGGAAAUAAAAAAUGAACACAAGGAUUUUUCGGCCGAAGCCCAGAGGUUCGGCGACCACUUCUAACUCUUAAUCCCCUGUUGAGCAUCCAUUAAAAUGAAUAAAGGUCGAUUGCACUAUAAAGCCCCAAAAAUAGGUAGCAAAUAUACAAUAAUGUUCCAAAAUUAUUACAAGUAUCAAGUCACUAAGACCUAUCUUAUGAGAAUCAACACGGUAGACACGAUUCCACGAAGAAAUCAUUGACCAAAUUACACAACUAUUACAUCACAGUUUCUGCCAUCAAAGAAUCACCCAUCUUUUAAGAGAAAGCACAAAAAUAAAUGGUAUUCCACCAAGGAACCAACCGAGAUCACCAAGAUCUAAAAAAACCGAACUGCCCUUCUCUAAAAUCACUUUUGCAUAAGACACAUAACACAGAAUAAAUCAUGCUCCACGAAGGAUUGUAUGCAUCUAUAGUAUUACUUGAGUUUUCUAGUAAUAUUUUCAACAAAAAACCUUCAAGAACCCAAACCCUAAUCACUAGAAGAAGAGUGAUUUUCUUUCGUAACAGAGAAGUGAGAGAAGAGAGAGAGACUUUUUCUUUUCCUUGAAAGUGAGACGUGAGAGAGAGAGAGAAUUAAUUGCUGGAAGAAAAGUCUUACCUCAAUUAAUGUGUAUCUUUCAAAUAUCACAUGGUUAGGUAGAAGAAUAUCCAAUGGUCAAGAAAAAAAAAACACAUUUCUUUCCUUUUUAAAUUUUGGAACACUUUUUUUUUUUCAACAAUCUCCACCUUGCUUCCAAAAUUUGAACCUAUAGUGCAUCCAGGAGCUUCGCCAUCAUUUAUAACUUCAGCAAUCAAUGAAAAGAAUCAAUAGAUAACAUCUUUAAAUAGUUUUGAAACUUAUUUAAAGGUAUCACCUUAGUUCCCAUAUCGGAUGGUUUAUACAAAGUAGGUAUUUUAUUAAUUUUCAGCAAUCAUUUUGAAAUAAUAUCCCUUAUAAAAAUGGUAUUUUACAUCAAAAUAUUUUGUUCUAUCAUGAAACAUGGGAUUCUUACUCAAAUGGAUUGCACUUUGGUUGUCAGAAUAUAAUAUUGGAUUAGUAUCUACAAAAUCAAGUUCAUUCAACAAACCAUGCAGCCGUAUGCCUUCUUUAAUGGCAUCAGUGGCAGCAAUAUAUUCAGCCUCAGUGAAAGAUAGAGCAACAAUUUUUUGUAACUGAGAUUUACAACUUAUCACAGUACCACACUAAGUGUAAAAAUAAGAUGAAGUUGAUUUUCUAUUAUCUCUAUUUCCAGCAAAAUCAGAAUCUGUAUAACCCUUUAAAAUUACCCCCUCUUUAUCCAUUUUAAACAUCAAACCCAAGUUAGAUGAGCCCUUUAAGUAUCUCAACAACCACUUCAAGGCUUCCCAAUGAGUUUCACCAGGAUUCGCCAUAAAUCUACUCAAACCACUAAUAUUAAAAGCCAAAUCAGGUCUGGUAUAAAUCAUUAAGUACAUGACUGAACCAAUAGCAUUAGCAUAAGGUAUUUUAGACAUUCUUUCAAAUUCAUCUUCAGUUUUUGAACAAGAACCAGAUGUUAAAAUAAAGUGAUUGGCAAGGGUAAAGUCACAGGUUUACAAUCAAACAUAUUAAACUUCUUGAGGAUCCUAUUCACAUACUCUUCUUGACAUAAAAACAAGCAAUCAGAUUUUUCAUCUCUUAUAAUAUGCGUGCCAAGUAUUUUUCUUAGCGGAACCAAGAUCCUUUAUAUCAAAUUCUGAUUUUAAUUUGUGUUUGAUAUCAUCAAUUUCAGAUUUAUUGGCACUAGCAAGAAGCAUAUCAUCAACAUAAAUCACAAGAUACAAAGAAUCUUUACCUCCAUUUCCUUUGCAAUAAAGACAUGUAUCAUAUCAUAAUUGCUUCUAUUAAACCCAAGCUUCAAGACGAAUGAAUCGAAUCUUUUAUACCAUUGUCUUGGAGCUUGUUUUAGGCCAUACAAAGAUUUUUUCAACAAACACACUGUUUUUUCUGGAUUUCCUUUAAUAAAUCCUAAAGGUUGUUUCAUGUAAAUCACUUCAUCCAAUUCACCAUAUAAAAAUGUAGUUUUUACAUCUAGUUGAUCAAGUUUCCACUUAAAUUGUACAACCAAAGCAAGAAUACAUCUUAUAGUUGUCUAUUUAACAACGGGGGGAAAAUCUCAUCAUAGUCCACACCCUCCUUUUGUGUGAAACCCUUGGCAACAAGCCUAGCCUUGUAUCUAACAUUGUUAGUUCCACCUUCCCCUUCCUUUAUCUUAUAAAUCCACUUGCAAUCAAUUAGUUUCUUAUCCUUAGGUCUAUCAAUCAAUUCCCAAGUUUUAUUUUUGUAUGGGGAAGACAUCUCUUCUUCGAUAGCAAUUAACUACCGCUUAGAAUCUUUCGAUUUUAAGGCUUCAUGAUAGGAACUAGGUUCAGCUUCAGAUUCAUCUUAAUAAGUGAACAAAGACACAAAAUCGUCACUAUUAAACCUAGCUAGUCAUCUAAUUUGUCUCCUAUCCCUGUCUCUAGUGAGUUGGUAUUCAUCUAGAGGUGUAUUAUCAUCAUUAUACUGCUCAGGUUCAGCCAAAUUAGGCUCGUUUUCAUUCUGAUCAGCCUCAUUAGUUGCUGUUUCUAGGGAGACAGAACUGGUAUUAUCAAUUUGAAUAGGCUCUACCUCAAUUUGGACAUCAUUUUCAAUCAAAUUUCUCUUUUUCCCUUCCAAACAUGGCAUACAUGACUCAUUAAAGACCAUAUCCCUUCUUGUAAUAACCUUGUAACCUUUUUCCCCCUAAACCCACAGCCUAUCCUUUAACAUUUUUAGCAUAACCCAAAAACACACAUUUAAGGGAUCUAAGUUCAAGUUUCCCUAUGUUUUGAUGAGCAUAUGCAGCACAACCAAAUGUUUUCAAGUAAGAAUAAUUUACAGGCUUUUGUGUCCACACAAUUUCAGGCACAUCAAAAUUUAAAGCACUUGUAGGAUUUCUAUUAAUCAAAUAUGCAACAGUUUUAACAGUUUCACCCCAAAAUAAUUUGGGCAAGCUAGAACUUAAAAGUAUGCAUCUAACUUUAUUCAACAAAGUUCUAUUCAUUCUUUCUGCAAUGCCAUUUUGCUGGGGUGUAUAGGUCACAGUUCUAUGUCUUAAAAUGCCAUGCAACUUGUAAAACUCAUUAAACGCAUAAUUGCAAAAUUCUAGACCAUUGUCGGUUCUCAAGGUUUUGAUUUUCAAAUCAGUUUGAUUUUCAAUUUGGGUUUCCAAUCUUUAAAUGUAGCAAAUGUUUCAUCUUUAGUUUUCAAAAGAAAUACCCAAAUUUUUCUUGAAAAAUCAUCAAUAAUAAGCAAGAAAUACUUGUAACCAGACAAUGUAGGGGCGGAUGUAGGGCCCCACAAAUUAGCAUGUAAGUAUUCUAGAAUUUGCUUUGAUUUAUGAGUACUAGUGGGAAAAGGUAACUUAACUUGCUUUCCAAUCAAACAUUGCUCACAUUUAGACAAAUCACCAAUAUUUGAUUUUUCAAAUACACCUUUAUUUUGUAAAACAUUUAAACCUUUUUCACCAAUGUGACCAAGUCUACAAUGCCACAAUUUUGUAAGAUUAAAACUAUCAUCUAAACUGCUGCUGAAAGGCCCAACAAAGAUUUUGCAUUUAAAAAGUAUAAACCGUGUCUCUUUGGGAUGGAAGUGAUCAAAUCACCAUCCCUAAAGAUUUUUUAUGUGUCCUUGAUCCAAUUUUAUGUCAAACUCCAUGUCAUCCAACAUUCCUAAAGACACAAGGUUUCUUUCUAAUUCAGGAACAAAUCUGGCCCCCUUUAACAAGAAAAUUCUACCAUUUUCUAAGAGCAAUUUUAUGGUUCCAAUACCUUUCACUUUACAGGUCAUGUUGUUUCCCAUGAUAACUUGGCCCCCUUUAGUUUGUUCAAAGUCCAAAAAAUAGUUUUUAUUAGGGCACAUGUGGAAAGAACAACCUGAAUCAAGAAUCCAUUCUUGAUUUAGGUUCCUUUCAACAUUUACAAGAACCAGGCUAUUGUCAAAUUUUUGCUUAUCAUAGGACAAAGCAGCAUUACCCUCAUUUAAUUUCUUUCCUUUCAAAUCAUUUUGCUUCUUGUAGUAAUCUUUUGCAAAGUGACCCAACUUACCAUAGUAAUAACAUUUCUUUCCCUUUGCCUUAGUUUUUUAUUUCAUUUUGUCAUUGUUUCUUUUCUUAGGGCCAUUUUGAAAUUUUGAAUGAAAAUUAGAUUUACCAACAUUUUUUGCCUUUUAUCAAAAGAUUUUCUCCACUUUGUUGGUUGAUAGAAUCUGAUUUUAAUUCAAGAACCCUAUUUCUUAAGGCAUGUAUAAUGAUUUCUGUGGUAAGCUUGUCUCUUCCAUAUUUAAGGCAUUUUUAAGGUCUUUAUGCCUAUCACUAAUAGAGUUUAACAAGACCACAGCCAGCUGAUCUUCUGAUAAUUUCUCAUCACAGUUGGCAAGGUCCUGGGUCAAUUUUGUAAAUCUGUCCAAGUUCUCAUCUAAGUCCACAGAAGGAUCCAUUUUAAAAGAAAAGAAUUGUUUUAGUAAAAAACAUUUGUUUAGAACAGUUUUUGGCUCAUAUUGGGCUUUCAAUUUAGUCCACAACUCUUCAGCAGUUUUAGUUUCACCUAUACUUGAUCACAUUGUCUGAAAGGUACAAGAAAAUAGUACUCCAUGCUAUUUCUUCUAAAUCAGUUCUUUUUGUAGCAGACAUUUCAACAGGCCAAGAAUUAUCUAAGGCUUUAGCACAUUUCAUUUGCAUCAAGAUAGCCCUCAUUUUCUGGCUCCACAUAUUAAAGUCCUCCGUCCCAUCAUACAAGCUCACUUCAAACUUAGCAGUAGCCAUGACUAGAUUCACCAAGAUAAUUCACAGAACACAAGUUUGAGUUCAAGAACACAUAGGGACAUACAACAAGAAUACUGCAGUCAGUCAGGGGAUUGGGGAUUGAUGACCAAUGCACUUAUUUCAAGUUUUCACAAAACAGUAAACACUUAACACUAAGUAUAGAAGGCAGAAUCACUAAGAGCAGAGAUAGCAAUCCUAUGCCUUAACUAACUUCUCCAGCAAGACCUUCCAAUUGCACUCCUACUAGUGUUGUUAUCUCAGAUUCCCAAGACUUCUUGAGCCUUUGGACAAAGACCAGCCACUGUAGAUUUUGUUAGUGCAAGGUAAAUCAAGGAAAAAAUUAGGAGACUCUACUGUAAGGAUUAAUUAUAGAAUGCACGAAAGAUCUCACCAAUGAGUUUGAUAAAACUCAAUUUCCACCGGCCAAUGUGUACUUCAGGUUUCAGGAAUCAGGUUUAAUCAAGAAAUCACAAGGCUCCAGUAGUCCAGGUUGCUCUAAUACCACUGAAAAGUCGAGGGAUGCGAAUAUUAACCAAGAUUCCAAAAACACAAUCAAAAACUGAAAAUAAAGUGCAGGAAAUAAAAAAUGAACACAAGGAUUUUUCGGCCGAAGCCCUAGAGGUUCGAUGACCACUUCUAAGGCCUAAUCUCCUAUUGAGCAUCCAUUAAAAUGGAUAAAGCUCAGUUGCACUAUAAAGCCCCAAAAAUAGGCAGCAAAUAUACAAUAAUGUUCCAAAAUUAUUACAAGUAUCAAGUCACUAAGACUUAUCUUAUGAGAAUCAACACAGCAGACACGAUUCCACGAAGAAAUCACUGAUCAAAUUACACAACUAUUACAUCACAGUUUCUGCCAUCAAAGAAUCACCCAUCUUUUAAGAGAAAACACAAAAAUAAAUGGUAUUCCACCAAGGAACGAACCGAGAUCAUCAAGAUCUCAAAAAAAUGAACUACCCUUGUCUAAAAUCACUUCGCAUAAGACACAUAACACAGAAUAAAUCGUGCUCCACGAAGGAAUGUAUGUAUCUAUAGUAUUACUUGAGUUUUCUAGUAAUAUUUUCAACAAAAAACCUUCAAGAACCCAAACCCUAAUCACUAGAAGAAGAGUGAUUUUCUUUCGUAACAGAGAAGUGAGAGAAGAGAGAGAGACUUUUUCUUUUCUUGAAAGUGAGAGGUGAGAGAGAGAGAGUUAAUUGCUGGAAGAAAAGUCUUGCCUCAAUUAAUUUGUAUCUUUCAUAUGGUCAGGUAGAAGAAUAUCCAAUGGUCAAGAAAAAAAACAUGUUUCUUUCCUUUUUAAAUUUUGGAACACUUUUUUUUUCAACACUAACUUAUAGCUCGAGGGAUAUCCAUGAAGCUUGUAACACUUGUAAAUAGCCAAGCAUACCACAGUAGCUGCAUUUUAGUCUAUCCUUCUUGAAACCCUGAUUAUUAUACAUAGGUUGUUGACCACCACUAGAAUUCAUUGAACCAGCCAUCAACCUACUUACAAAAGCAGUAGCUUCAACAUUAGUUUAGUUUUUAGACGCUAUAUCCUUUUGUUUCUCAUCCCGUUGAACUAAUACAAAUGCCUUGUUUAGUGGAGGCAGAGGCUCCAUCAUCAAAAUCUGGCUACACACAUUAGAAUAAAGUCAUCUAAUCCCAUUAAAAAUUGCAAGAUCUACUCCUCUUCAUAAUAGUAGUUGUUCUUAAGACUAUAGUUUGACAACUCUUCCCGCAAACCUUUCAGCCUAUUAAAAUAGGCACUCAUAGAGCCAUUUCCUUGUGAGAUAGAAACAUUCAACUAGAUUUGACAUGAUGAGUCCUUAUGCAUAAGACUUAGAUAUAACUCUUUAGGAAUUAAGUUUAUAGUGAAUAAUGAAAUUAUGUGAUUACCUCAACGCCAAGCCACAUACAAAGGUAAAUCCAUGGGAGAUUUAGGUAUAAAACCAUCAAUGAGACUUUCCUUAUUCUUCACACUGAGUGCCAUUUCUACAGCACAACUCCACGUUGAGUAAUUUUCAUCAGAAAGUAUAACAAACACAAUAUGCAUUCCCCGUAUUAUCUCCAUAGUGCAUGUAAUAAGGAUUCAAAGGAUUUGUUACCAUUCGUUAAGCAGCAACAAUUGGAUCUUCACUGUGAUGAGCAUUCAGUGAAGAAUUGUUGGUAGAACCUUCAUCUCGAGUCUCUAAGCUAGCAGCCAUGAGCGAAAGCUUCGAUUUGCUCCGAUACCAUGUAAA